Prosopis cineraria is the source of this 3258-nucleotide RNA transcript. It is a transcript of the gene named exocyst complex component SEC10a-like, with no coding region annotated. The transcript has 27 exons. Lineage: Eukaryota; Viridiplantae; Streptophyta; Magnoliopsida; Fabales; Fabaceae. The record is from RefSeq and is a predicted model, not a curated record.
AUUUGUUGGAUUGUUCGUUGAGGGGAGGAAUUACAGACUCCAAGCUUUUCUCGUUUAUGGAUUUGGACUAUUAUCAAAUUUUCGAAAUUACAGGAGUUACUUCUGCAUUGAAAAUUUCGUUGGACCUUUCUGCAACCCAGAAGACUCUGCUUUCUUAGUCAUAGCCAAGAGGGGCUUCCUUGGAUUCUGAGAUCAUACCUCAGUUUCAUACGAGUCUGCUAAUCCUCUGUCUGUGAAACUAAAAUUAAGCUAAAAGCAGAUGAGGGAGACAAGAAGUGGAACAAAGAAUGAAAAAAGUUCGAAAUGUACAUCAGCUAACUCGUUCCCCCUUGUUAUGGAUAUUGAUGACUUUAAGGGGGACUUUUCUUUUGAUGCAUUAUUUGGAAAUAUGGUGAAAGUGAUCCUUCCAUCUUUCCAAGAAGAAGCAAUAGAUUCAUCAGAAGGACACAACAACGUCACUGGGGGUGAUUCUUUUUCAAAUGGACAUAGGCGCGCUUCAUCCGAUGCAGCAAAGUAUGCUCAGAAUCUUUCUACUCCCUUGUUCCCAGAUGUUGAGAAGCUCUUAUCUUUGUUCAAUGACUAUUGCAAGGAGCUGGCUGAGCUUCGUAAACAGAUUGAUGGCAGGCUCUACAAUCUUAAGAAAGACGUCUCUGUUCAAGACACUAAGCAUCGUAAGACACUUGCUGAGCUAGAAACAGGAGUAGAUGGUUUGUUUGAUAGCUUUGCAAGGCUGGAUUCGCGUAUUUCAAGUGUUGGUCAGACUGCUGCAAAGAUAGGAGAUCAACUUCAGAGUGCAGAUGCUCAACGGGUUACUGCCAGUCAAACUAUUGAGCUAAUAAAGUACUUGAUGGAGUUCAACAGCAGUCCUGGUGACCUGAUAAAGCUUUCUCCUCUAUUUUCUGAUGACAGCCGUACUGCUGAGGCUGCUUCAGUUGCCCAAAAAUUACGGUCAUUUGCUGAAGAAGAUAUUGGAGGACGUGGCAUAGGUGCCCCAUCAAUGAUAGGGAAUGCAGCUGCAAGCAAAGGAUUAGAAUUUGCUGUUUCUAAUCUACAAGAGUAUUGCAAUGAAUUGGAGAAUAGAUUGUUGGCUCGGUUUGAUGCAGCAUCACAGAAAAGAGAUUUAUCCACGAUGUCUGAAUGUGCCAAAAUUUUGUCACAGUUCAAUAGGGGUACAAGUGCCAUGCAACAUUAUGUAGCAACCCGUCCAAUGUUUAUUGAUGUGGAAGUCAUGAAUGCUGAUACUAGGUUGGUUCUUGGUGAUGAUGGCACACACGCUAGUCCUAGUAAUGUCACUAAAGGGCUUUCAUCAUUGUACGGAGAAAUCACAGAUACUGUUCGCAAAGAAGCAGCAAAAAUCACAGCUGUAUUCCCUUCACCCAACGAGGUUAUGUCAAUUUUAGUUCAGCGAGUUCUAGAGCAGCGAGUCACUGCCCUUUUGGACAAAUUAUUAGUAAGGCCACCUCUUAUAAAUCCACCUUCCGUGGAGGAAGGUGGACUUCUAUUAUAUCUCAGAAUUCUAUCAGUAACAUAUGAAAAGACGCAAGAACUUGCUAGGGAUCUGCAAGCGGUGGGAUGUGGAGACUUGGAUGUUGAGGGCCUCACAGAAUCCUUGUUUUCAAAUCAUAAGGAUGAAUACCCCGACUAUGAGCAGGCAUCUCUUGACCAAUUGUAUCAAGUGAAGCUGGAAGAACUGCAAGCUGAAAGCCAGCAGAUAUCUGAGUCACCUGGAACAAUUGGACGCUCAAAAGGAGCUUCAAUUGCUUCUCCUCUACAGCAAAUAUCUGCCACAAUUGUGUCAGAGUUUGUGCGUUGGAAUGAAGAAGCAAUUUCAAGGUGCAAUCUCUUUUCCUCUCAGCCAGCCAUCCUUGCAACCAAUGUAAAAGCAGUGUUUGCUUGCCUGCUGGACCAAGUCAGUAAAUACAUUGUAGAUGGACUUGAGCGUGCUAGAGAGGGCCUGACUGAUGCUGCUAACUUGAGGGAAAGAUUUUCACUGGGUGUUGGCCGAAGAGUAGCUGCUAGCGCAACUUCCAAUGCAGAGGCUGCAGCUGCGGCUGGUGAAAGCAGUUUCAAAUCGUUUCUGGUUGCUGUACAAUGUUCUGUUGGCAGUGUGGCUAUUAUUCAACAAUAUUUUGCAAACUCCAUAUCUCGGCUUUUGCUUCCUGUGGAUGGAGCACAUGCUGCUUCUUGUGAAGAAAUGGCAAUGACAAUGUCCAAAGCAGAAGCUGCUGCUUACCAGGGAUUACAACAAUGCAUCGAAACUGUAAUGGCUGAGGUGGAACGAUUGCUCUCAGCUGAGCAAAAGGCUACAGAUUAUCGAUCACCUGAUGACGGUAUCGCUCCUGACUACCGGGCAACCAAUGCGUGCACAAGGGUUGUGUCAUAUCUCUCUCGUGUGCUGGAGCCUGCAUUUACUGGCCUAGAAGGUCAAAAUAAACAGGCAUUCCUGACUGAGUUGGGGAAUCGGGUGCACAAGACAUUGCUAAACCAUUGGCAGAAGUUUACUUUUAAUCCAAGUGGGGGAUUGCGGUUGAAGCGUGACAUAACUGAAUAUGGAGAGUUCUUGCGUAAUUUUAAUGCCCCUUCUGUUGAUGAGAAAUUUGAAUCACUGAGCAUAUUAGCCAAUGUCUUCAUUGUUGCUCCCGAAAGCCUUGCAACUUUGUUUGAGGGUACACCUAGCAGUGAUGCACAAAGAUUUAUUCAGCUUAGGGAUGACUACAAGAGUGCCAAACUUGCAUCCAAAUUGAGUUCCUUGUGGAGUUGACAGAAUCCCCUUUGGCUAGGGCACAGGCUCUCAACUUGAACCUAAGUUUCACAAAUAGUUUCAUGCAGAUAAAAUACAAGGAGGCUGGCUAUUCACAGGCCAGUUUAGUACAUUGGAAUAUCUUCCUUUGCUGACUGGAUAUUUGAAGGCAACUCAGAGACUCCUAAAAAUUAUGCAGACUUAGCCAGCCAAAAUAUUAAAAAAAAAAUCUGGAAGACCCCACAUGACAGGAUCCCCAUGUUCUUAUCUGUGGAACGUGAGAGUCAACGCAUGACACUUGAGUCACUCAGCUCUGAAAAAGCCUUCGUGUGUUGUGUGGUGUGGAUUGUGAUGUGGUGUUGACCAAUUCGAGUUCAUCCCUUGGAGCGUUGGGAUUUGUCUUGUCAUCAAACUACUCCAAUCUUGUAUUCAAAAAAAAAAAAAAAAUGCUCCAAUCUUCUUUUAGCCUAAAAAACAGAGAAUGGCAAUAAAGUUCCAGAAGAAGAAAGAAUUAAUUA